GACGUAGGGAGCGAGCGUUGUCCGGAUUCAUUGGGCGUAAAGAGCGCGUAGGCGGCCGUGCAAGUCGGUUGUGAAAUCCCGGGGCUCAACCGCGGGACUGCGUCCGAUACUGCACGGCUCGAGGCAGGUAGGGGAGAGUGGAAUUCCCGGUGUAGCGGUGAAAUGCGCAGAUAUCGGGAGGAACACCGGUGGCGAAGGCGGAUCUCUGGGCCUGUUCUGACGCUGAGGCGCGAAAGCUAGGGGAGCGAACAGG
Molecule: ribosomal RNA, 253 nt
Filed under: uncultured bacterium
Lineage: Bacteria
Description: partial 16S ribosomal RNA
Rfam family: Bacterial small subunit ribosomal RNA
Source: RNAcentral